CAGUCGCCGCGGGAAUACGAAGGGGGCUAGCGUUGCUCGGAAUGACUGGGCGUAAAGGGCGCGUAGGCGGCUUGCACAGUCAGAUGUGAAAUUCCUGGGCUUAACCUGGGGGCUGCAUUUGAUACGUGUGGGCUAGAGUGUGAAAGAGGGUCGUGGAAUUCCCAGUGUAGAGGUGAAAUUCGUAGAUAUUGGGAAGAACACCGGUGGCGAAGGCGGCGACCUGGUUCAUGACUGACGCUGAGGCGCGAAAGCGUGGGGAGCAAACAGGAUUAGAUACCCCCGUAGUCCCUGUCUCUUAUAC
Molecule: ribosomal RNA, 301 nt
Filed under: uncultured bacterium
Lineage: Bacteria
Description: partial 16S ribosomal RNA
Rfam family: Bacterial small subunit ribosomal RNA
Source: RNAcentral